GACGAACGCUGGCGGCGUGCCUAAUACAUGCAAGUCGAGCGAACAGACGAGGAGCUUGCUCCUCUGACGUUAGCGGCGGACGGGAGAGUAACACGUGGAUAACCUCCCUAUCUGACGGGGAUCACUUCGGAACACGGGCGAUAAUACCGUAUAAUAUAUUGCACCGCGUGGGUCAAUGGAAAAAGUCGGUUUUGCUGGCUCUUAUAGAUGGUUUCGCGCCGCAUUAGCUGGUUGGUAAGGUAAUGGGUUACCACGGCGACGAUGCGUAGCCGACGUGAGAGGGGGAUCGGCCACACGGGAGCGGGGCCGCGGUCCAGACGCCUAAGGGAGGGACCAGUAGGGAACCUGCCGCAGUAGGGGAAAACCUGACGGAGCGGCCGCGCGUGUGUGACGAAGGCCUCCGGAGCGGAAAACCCUGUUAUGGGUGAUGAACAAAUUUGGAAGGAACCAAGCACUGCGUGACGGUACCGAAUAAAAAAGCACCGGCUAACUACGUG
This 497-nucleotide ribosomal RNA is filed under the name uncultured bacterium. Its description in RNAcentral is "partial 16S ribosomal RNA". It matches the Rfam family "Bacterial small subunit ribosomal RNA", at positions 28 to 507 of the family's 1533-position model. The record is from RNAcentral.